GAAAUGGAUUCUCUAAAGUCUAACAUGACCAGACUUUUUUAGACUUGCCUCAUGAUUGCAAAUCAUCAGGUUGUAAAUGGAUCUUGAAAAUGAAACUAAAACCUGAUGGAAUUGUUGAUAAAUACAAGGCAGCCUUGUAGUCAAAAGUUUUAGACAAAGAAAAAAUAUAGAUUUAUUCACUUUUUCACCAAUCACUAGAAUAACAUCCAUUAGGGUACUUAUAUCACUUGCGACUAUUUAUAAUUUGGUGAUACACCAGAUGGAUGUUAAAACAACCUUUUUAAAUGGUGACUUGAAAGAAGAAAUCUUAACCUUUUUAAAUGGUGACUUGAAAGAAGAAAUCUUAACCUUUUUAAAUGGUGACUUGAAAGAAGAAAUCUUAACCUUUUUAAAUGGUGACUUGAAAGAAGAAAUCUUAACCUUUUUAAAUGGUGACUUGAAAGAAGAAAUCUUAACCUUUUUAAAUGGUGACUUGAAAAAAGAAAUCUAUUUGGAACAACCUGAAGGUUUUGUAAUUCAAGGACAAGAAUACAAGGUCUGUAAGUUAGAUAAAUCUUUGUAUGGUCUUAAACAAACUCUUAAGAAAUGGCAUGAAAAGUUUGAUAACUUUAUUAUAUCAAAUGAGUUUAAAGUGAAUGAAAGUGACAAAUGUAUUUACUAUAAAUUUGAAAAUGACUUUUGUACUAUCAUAUGUCUCUAUGUAGACAACUUACUCAUAUUUGAUUCAAUUAUUCAUGCUGUAAAUAUUAUGAAAUCAUUGUUGUGUAACAACUUUGAUAUGAAAUAUCUCGGAGAAGCGAAUGUAAUCCUAGAAAUCAAGAUUACUAGUUCAGAAAAUGGAAUUUCUUUGGAUCAAUCUCACUAUGUUGAAACAAUCCUAAAGAAAUAUAAAUAUUUUGAUUGUAAACCUGCUUGCACACCAUAUGAUCUAAGUGUGAAACUUUUCAAUUACACUGGUGAAGGUGUUAGACAAACUGAAUAUGCGAGCAUGAUUGGCAGCCUCAUGUAUGCCACUAAUUGUACUAGAUCCGACAUUUCCUACGCCGUGGGACUGUUGUGCAGGUUUACCAAUAGACCUAGUAUGGAGCAUUGACACGCUAUUGAAAGAGUCAUGUGAUACCUAAAAAGGACAAUGAUUCUCGGAUUACAUUAUCAAAGAUUUUCUACAGUCCUUGAAGGAUACAAUGAUGUUGAUUGGAAUAUCUUAUCAAAUGAUUCCAAAGCAACCACUAUAUUUUGG
This 1240-nucleotide long non-coding RNA is filed under the name Cicer arietinum (chickpea). RNAcentral's name for it is "long non-coding RNA (CARI_LNC003610)". Lineage: Eukaryota; Viridiplantae; Streptophyta; Magnoliopsida; Fabales; Fabaceae. The record is from RNAcentral.